Molecule: long non-coding RNA, 574 nt
Filed under: Homo sapiens (human)
Lineage: Eukaryota; Metazoa; Chordata; Mammalia; Primates; Hominidae
Description: HSALNT0345604
Source: RNAcentral
AUACAGCGAUGGCCCCCACACCUGGAAGGACUCAAGCUCUGAAUCCAGCACCUUCAGGAAGCAAGUGAUGGCAUCCCAGAGGCCCUAUGCUUGAGACAGACUGACGAAAACAGGUGGAUCUAGGUAAAAUCAGUCUCUGCUACCCUCCUCAUCUAAACCCUCAGUGCAGGGCCACCUUGGAAGCCAUGUGUUAACACUGAGUGAUCCUCCUCAGCCAAGUCCCUAAUGCAUGGAAAAGAACCUCCUGACCCAGUCCCCAAAGGCUGGACUUUUCCUUUGCAAGAAAUAAGGAGGUAUUGUAUUAAGCCACAGUGUUGUUCUAUUACAGAAGAUUAAGCAGUGCUUAAAUUAACAUAUACCUCCCCCAAAAAAAACAUGGUCAGGAGUCAGGUAACUCUUAUAAAGUAAUUAGCACCUAGUGUCACGGAAUGUGGAUUUCUGUCAAUGUGAGGCCAUGGGACCCUGGAACAAUGCUGCCACUUCCUAUGAAUCUAUUUCUUAAAUUGCAGGGUAAAGUUCACCAUAAAUAACAAAGUCAUGGAGUCAAGCUGUCACAAUUGGCCACCGUUCCUAA